AGCGAAUUAGUGAAAUGGUAUCAUCGCUAGCUCAUGCCUAGCCGUUCUGGGUUCGAUUCCCAGGUUCGCAU
This is a non-coding RNA of Microbotryomycetes sp. JL201, 71 nucleotides long. NCBI's taxonomy places the organism in Eukaryota, Fungi, Basidiomycota, Microbotryomycetes. The record is from the annotation of a GenBank genome assembly.